CCAGGUACCACUCUGAAUGUACCCAAUCUCAUCUGAUCUUGGAAGCUAAGCAGAGUUGGGCCUGGUUACUAUCUGGA
This 77-nucleotide ribosomal RNA is filed under the name Jaculus jaculus (lesser Egyptian jerboa). Lineage: Eukaryota; Metazoa; Chordata; Mammalia; Rodentia; Dipodidae. The record is from RNAcentral.